GCGACACUCCAUGUUGCACCUACCUGACAGCGACCUCGGGGAAGACAGCAGCCCCACUGCAGUCAACGGGGUUAAUCGCAGGGCAGCCACGCUCUACAAUCAGUUUACCCCAAAGAAUGAAGACAAUAGAUCAUUUGAAGGAAUCCUGUACAAGCGAGGGGCAUUACUUAAAGCUUGGAAAGCUAGGUGGUUUGUUCUUGACGUAACAAAACAUCAGCUGAGGUAUUAUGAGACGGAUGAGGAUACAAACUGUCGUGGCUAUAUUGACCUGGCUGAAGUGGAAUCUGUCCUGA
Molecule: long non-coding RNA, 293 nt
Organism: Sinocyclocheilus rhinocerous
Lineage: Eukaryota; Metazoa; Chordata; Actinopteri; Cypriniformes; Cyprinidae
Exons: 3
Source: RefSeq, a predicted model, not a curated record